Molecule: transfer RNA, 78 nt
Filed under: Clostridioides difficile
Lineage: Bacteria; Bacillati; Bacillota; Clostridia; Peptostreptococcales; Peptostreptococcaceae
Description: tRNA-Arg
Rfam family: tRNA
About the family: Transfer RNA (tRNA) molecules are approximately 80 nucleotides in length. Their secondary structure includes four short double-helical elements and three loops (D, anti-codon, and T loops).
Source: RNAcentral
UGGGGAUUAGCCAAGUCGGUAAGAGCAACGCCCUUCUAAGGCAUGUAUGCGUAGGUUCGAGUCCUGCAUCCCCAGCCA